UGAGUUUUUGGACGGAGUAAAGAAGAGCAGCGGACAUCUCCCCACUGAAUUCCCGGAGGUGAUUAAGGAAUCAUUUGAAGAUAAACUUAUGGACUCCAGCGAACUCGCCGCCAAUAACUUCCUAGAUUCUACAAUCGAAUUCGCUAGCGUCGAUCACCUAAGAGAAAUCCCUGAUGAAUCAGUUGAGGAUUACCUCCCCAAACUUGCCACCAAUGAAUCUUUCGGUGUGCCAUAGAAAACAGAGAUUUCCCAAGGCAGCUCUUUUGAGCAACAUACUUCUGUUUCCUGUGUUGAACUCUGCUCUGACUUGUCAACGGUAGAAUCUUCCAUUGAAUUCAAGGAGGCUUUUGGAGAUCUACCAAGUAAAAUCUCUGCUUUAAUUGAUGAAUCAGUUGAAGCUGUCCUCCCAAACUCCGGCGAGCUCACUGCGGAGAACUCACAUCAGAUUCCAGUUUUUUCCACUGCUAAAAUCGGCGCUGCCAACAAUGCCCCUACCAUUUCUUCAACUCCCAAGCUUCCAUGCGAGUCUGAAUCCAUGUCUCUAGAGGAGCUAUCAAUAGUUCAAACUCAGUCAUCUGGAGAAACUGGCAUGGCUGCGACUGAGACCAAGACCAAAGCCUUGGAGGAGGAGGUUGAGGAGGUUUACCUCAAAGAUGAGAACUUGGAGCUUUUGAGUUUAACAAAACUUACGGCAAUGUACAAACAAAUACUGAAUGGUACAAAAACUGAGCAGGAGAGGAAGAAAUCUAUAAUCAAACCAGAAGAUUUGGAGCAUUUGAGCAGCAUCAAACACGAUGAAGACUGCAAGUAGAAGUUGAAUGAUGAUAUGAUUAAGUCGGAGAGCAAGAAAUCUGUGAUCAAACAAGAAGACUUGGGAGUGCCUGAGCCGCAGCAAACUUGAUUCAAACAAGCAAAAGUUGAAUGACGA
Long non-coding RNA from Dendrobium catenatum, 928 nucleotides. RefSeq lists it as uncharacterized. The transcript has 2 exons. Lineage: Eukaryota; Viridiplantae; Streptophyta; Magnoliopsida; Asparagales; Orchidaceae. The record is from RefSeq and is a predicted model, not a curated record.